This is a long non-coding RNA of Chelonia mydas (Green sea turtle), 1264 nucleotides long. RefSeq lists it as uncharacterized. The transcript is spliced from 4 exons. The record is from RefSeq and is a predicted model, not a curated record. Lineage: Eukaryota; Metazoa; Chordata; Testudines; Cheloniidae.
UUAAGCUAAUAGGCUGCACCUGGGGAUGACCCAGGCCUUGAAGGGCUGAUUGAAGAUGGAGCCCAGCUGGGGAGGAACAGGAGGGGCUGGUAUAAAGCUAGUAAGUUGACAGCAGAAAAGAGCUGUAGGGCAGGGAGUUUGAUGCUAUGGAUUUCAGUAGCCUGCAGCUUCCUCCCUGGGAGGAGAGCAUUUGAGCUGGUACACUCAGAGAGUGGGGAGCUAGAAGUUGUAGGAAGGAAUCCAGGGAAAGACCCAACAGAGUCUGAGGGAAAGCAGACUACAGUUGCCAGGUAUAGGGUCCCUGAAUUAGAACCUGGAAUAGUGGGGUGGCCCUAGGUUCCCUUACCAGCCACAGGAGAAAUGGCACAGACCAGGCAGCAGAGUGCAGACUGCCUAGGAUGGUUGUCCAGAGGGACUUCCUUACCCUGGAAGGGGAGAACUAUAGUGACCUGGCUGGAGGGCUAAGCAUGAAGACAGAACACCCUAAGACACAGAGAGUAAGAGAGAGUGGUGGUAGGGAUGCAGUAAGCAGUAGAAUAGGGUGUUGGAUCUAUAAAGAACUAAUCCUCAGAGCAUCCAGGAGGAGGUGCCACCUAGUGAUGAGUGAAGCACCCCAUGACAAAUGUAAGAUGGACCCCUCCAUAUCAACAGUGGCAAGUCUGGGAGAAGCAGUAUCUUCUGAUUACACCAAGAUCCAGUGUCUUCAACAUCCUGGGUGACCAGUGCAAAUGGGGAGUGGCUGCUCCUCCAACCCACAGGCUGGGAGAGCAGUCACAAGAAUGGAGGGAUCCAUCUCCAUCUACUCUCGCUGCUCUCUCACCUGCAUAGAGACCACAAUUCACAAGAUGCAGUAAUGGACAGUAAAACCAACUGCGUGCGUGUGAGAGGAGGCACUCGGAUACAAAACAGAAUCUGCAGGCUCUUCCCCAGCUGCAUCUCUAUCACAGCAUAACAUUGAGACCUGUCAUGGCAGCCACCAGAACUAGUGAACCCUCCCUCCAACUUCCAUGUACUUGAGCCUGUAGCAAUUACUGAUCUUUGGUGUAGUGGUGUUUGGUGGGCUUGCAUUUUAUUCUAAACUUUUAAAGGAAUUUCCCUUGGGACUUGUCAAGGAUUUCUGUCUGACUAGCAAUAGUCCAAGACACAGGAAAUGCCCAUGUUUCCAUUUUGCAAGUUAAGAAUGGAAACUUGUCUGUCUCUUUUCCCAGAAUUGCCACAGUGUUUUAAUCAAUAGUUUUAAUAAAGGCUUUCUGAAAUUGUUAGA